UAAAGAUUCAUCGCUGAUAGAUAGGCAUGCGUUCCAUUAGGCAGUUGGCGGGGUAACGGCCCACCAAACCGACGAUGGAUAGGGGUUCUGAGAGGAAGGUCCCCCACAUUGGUACUGAGACACGGACCAAACUCCUACGGGAGGCAGCAGUGAGGAAUAUUGGUCAAUGGGCGUAAGCCUGAACCAGCCAAGUCGCGUGAGGGAUGAAGGUUCUAUGGAUCGUAAACCUCUUUUAUAAGGGAAUAAAGUGUGGGACGUGUCCUAUUUUGUAUGUACCUUAUGAAUAAGGAUCGGCUAACUCCGUGCCAGCAGCCGCGGUAAUACGGAGGAUCCGAGCGUUAUCCGGAUUUAUUGGGUUUAAAGGGUGCGUAGGCGGCCUUUUAAGUCAGCGGUGAAAGUCUGUGGCUCAACCAUAGAAUUGCCGUUGAAACUGGGGGGCUUGAGUAUGUUUGAGGCAGGCGGAAUGCGUGGUGUAGCGGUGAAAUGCUUAGAUAUCACGCAGAACCCCGAUUGCGAAGGCAGCCUGCCAAGCCAUGACUGACGCUGAUGCACGAAAGCGUGGGGAUCAAACAGGAUUAGAUACCCUGGUAGUCCACGCAGUAAA
This 604-nucleotide ribosomal RNA is filed under the name uncultured bacterium. RNAcentral's name for it is "bacterial SSU rRNA". It matches the Rfam family "Bacterial small subunit ribosomal RNA", at positions 202 to 806 of the family's 1533-position model. The record is from RNAcentral.